Molecule: transfer RNA, 71 nt
Filed under: Camelus bactrianus (Bactrian camel)
Lineage: Eukaryota; Metazoa; Chordata; Mammalia; Artiodactyla; Camelidae
Also listed under: 1 other name
Rfam family: tRNA
About the family: Transfer RNA (tRNA) molecules are approximately 80 nucleotides in length. Their secondary structure includes four short double-helical elements and three loops (D, anti-codon, and T loops).
Source: Rfam by way of RNAcentral
GAGGGCAUAGCUCAGUGGUAGAGUGCAUGCCUAGCACGCACAAGGUCCUGGGUUUGAUCCCCAGACCCUCC